GAAUCGUGAAGUGGGCACGAGUCGGUAACAUGACUAGCGCGGACGAAUGGAUAAUGCAAGAACGCAAACCAUCAGAAUCGUCGAAAGAAUACUGCAUCAUGACUAUCAAAUCCUAUCGCAGUACUAUGAUAUAGCCAUAAUGAAGUUGGAAACCUCAGUUACCUAUACUGGAUGAGCCAGACUGGCAUGUCUCCCGGUUGACUUGCCUGAUACUGGUACUGAUGGCGAAGCAGUUGCUAUUGGAUAGGGACGUGUUGAUUGGGCCGAUGCGAAUAGGGCUCCGACUAUUUAUUAAAAGUGACGCUCAAUUUGGUUCCACAACAGUCUUGCAAUGAGAGCUUUUUCGAUGUCAAUAGCAUUAUCAAGCUCACACGAGGCAUUGUUGACGAAUGGCAAAUAUGUGCAGGAGAAAAAGGAAAAGAUACUUGUCAGGACGACUGUGGAGAAGCAUCAUACCUGGUACGUACACUCGAAUCUAUCACUACAUCCCCUAGAUAGAAAGAGUGGCAUGGCCGGAGUACUUCAAAAAUAAUUAAUACAAGGUAAAUAUGCACAUAAGGUUAAGCUCCUCAAAAGUUCAUGAUCUUUAUAUAUGUUGUCAAGGACAUCAUUCUGAGUAACAUGCAAAAAGUUUUAGCUGUUGUUU
Molecule: long non-coding RNA, 646 nt
Organism: Harpegnathos saltator (Jerdon's jumping ant)
Lineage: Eukaryota; Metazoa; Arthropoda; Insecta; Hymenoptera; Formicidae
Exons: 3
Source: RefSeq, a predicted model, not a curated record